This 402-nucleotide ribosomal RNA is filed under the name uncultured bacterium. RNAcentral describes it as "bacterial SSU rRNA". It matches the Rfam family "Bacterial small subunit ribosomal RNA", at positions 134 to 518 of the family's 1533-position model. The record is from RNAcentral.
AACAGGGGAAUAACCCGUUGAAAAACGGACUAAUACUCCAUAACACAGGGGUCCCGCAUGGGAAUAUUUGUUAAAAGAUUAAUCGGUUGAAGAUGGGCAUGCGUUCCAUUAGCUUGUGGUGAGGUAACGGCUCACCAAGGCCACGAUGGAUAGGGGAACUGAGAGGUUUAUCCCCCACACUGGAACUGAGACACGGUCCAGACUCCUACGGGAGGCAGCAGUGAGGAAUAUUGGUCAAUGGAGGCAACUCUGAACCAGCCAAGUCGCGUGGAAAGGAUGAAGGUCUUAUGGAUUGUAAACUUCUUUUGCAAGGGAAUAAAGUGGGGGACGUGUCCCUUACCUUUCCCGUCGUAGUUGUACCCUUUGCGAAUAAGGAUCGGCUAACUCCGUGCCAGCCGCUGC